AGGGUGACAGCCCCGUACACAAAAAUGCACAUGCUGUGAGCUCGAUGAGUAGGGCGGGACACGUGGUAUCCUGUCUGAAUAUGGGGGGACCAUCCUCCAAGGCUAAAUACUCCUGACUGACCGAUAGUGAACCAGUACCGUGAGGGAAAGGCGAAAAGAACCCCGGCGAGGGGAGUGAAAAAGAACCUGAAACCGUGUACGUACAAGCAGUGGGAGCACGCUUAGGCGUGUGACUGCGUACCUUUUGUAUAAUGGGUCAGCGACUUAUAUUCUGUAGCAAGGUUAACCGAAUAGGGGAGCCGAAGGGAAACCGAGUCUUAACUGGGCGUUAAGUUGCAGGGUAUAGACCCGAAACCCGGUGAUCUAGCCAUGGGCAGGUUGAAGGUUGGGUAACACUAACUGGAGGACCGAACCGACUAAUGUUGAAAAAUUAGCGGAUGACUUGUGGCUGGGGGUGAAAGGCCAAUCAAACCGGGAGAUAGCUGGUUCUCCCCGAAAGCUAUUUAGGUAGCGCCUCGUGAAUUCAUCUCCGGGGGUAGAGCACUGUUUCGGCAAGGGGGUCAUCCCGACUUACCAACCCGAUGCAAACUGCGAAUACCGGAGAAUGUUAUCACGGGAGACACACGGCGGGUGCUAACGUCCGUCGUGAAGAGGGAAACAACCCAGACCGCCAGCUAAGGUCCCAAAGUCAUGGUUAAGUGGGAAACGAUGUGGGAAGGCCCAGACAGCCAGGAUGUUGGCUUAGAAGCAGCCAUCAUUUAAAGAAAGCGUAAUAGCUCACUGGUCGAGUCGGCCUGCGCGGAAGAUGUAACGGGGCUAAACCAUGCACCGAAGCUGCGGCAGCGACGCUGAUGCGUUGUUGGGUAGGGGAGCGUUCUGUAAGCCUGCGAAGGUGUGCUGUGAGGCAUGCUGGAGGUAUCAGAAGUGCGAAUGCUGACAUAAGUAACGAUAAAGCGGGUGAAAAGCCCGCUCGCCGGAAGACCAAGGGUUCCUGUCCAACGUUAAUCGGGGCAGGGUGAGUCGACCCCUAAGGCGAGGCCGAAAGGCGUAGUCGAUGGGAAACAGGUUAAUAUUCCUGUACUUGGUGUUACUGCGAAGGGGGGACGGAGAAGGCUAUGUUGGCCGGGCGACGGUUGUCCCGGUUUAAGCGUGUAG
RNAcentral lists this ribosomal RNA (1155 nucleotides) under Escherichia coli. RNAcentral's name for it is "partial 23S ribosomal RNA". It matches the Rfam family "Bacterial large subunit ribosomal RNA", at positions 361 to 1523 of the family's 2925-position model. The record is from RNAcentral. Lineage: Bacteria; Pseudomonadati; Pseudomonadota; Gammaproteobacteria; Enterobacterales; Enterobacteriaceae.